Molecule: ribosomal RNA, 472 nt
Filed under: uncultured bacterium
Lineage: Bacteria
Description: bacterial SSU rRNA
Rfam family: Bacterial small subunit ribosomal RNA
Source: RNAcentral
UGGGGAAUAUUGGACAAUGGGCGCAAGCCUGAUCCAGCCAUACCGCGUGGGUGAAGAAGGCCUUCGGGUUGUAAAGCCCUUUUGUUGGGAAAGAAAUCCAGCUGGCUAAUACCCGGUUGGGAUGACGGUACCCAAAGAAUAAGCACCGGCUAACUUCGUGCCAGCAGCCGCGGUAAUACGAAGGGUGCAAGCGUUACUCGGAAUUACUGGGCGUAAAGCGUGCGUAGGUGGUCGUUUAAGUCCGUUGUGAAAGCCCUGGGCUCAACCUGGGAACUGCAGUGGAUACUGGACGACUAGAGUGUGGUAGAGGGUAGCGGAAUUCCUGGUGUAGCAGUGAAAUGCGUAGAGAUCAGGAGGAACAUCCAUGGCGAAGGCAGCUACCUGGACCAACACUGACACUGAGGCACGAAAGCGUGGGGAGCAAACAGGAUUAGAUACCCACGUAGUCCCUGAGCGGGCUGGCAAGGCGCAU